AGAGUUUGAUCCUGGCUCAGAUUGAACGCUGGCGGCGUGCUUAACACAUGCAAGUCGAACGAGAAAGGGACUUCGGUCCUGAGUAGAGUGGCGCACGGGUGAGUAACGCGUAGGUAAUCUACCUCUGCAUCUGGGAUAACACUUCGAAAGGGGUGCUAAUACCGGAUACACUUAUGGAUCGCAAGAUCUAUAAGGAAAGGAGACCUCUCCUUGGAAGUUUCUGUGUAGAGAUGAGCCUGCGUCCCAUUAGCUAGUUGGUAGGGUAAAGGCCUACCAAGGCGACGAUGGGUAGCGGGUCUGAGAGGAUGAUCCGCCACACUGGAACUGAAACACGGACCAGACUCCUACGGGAGGCAGCAGUGAGGAAUAUUGGACAAUGGGCGCAAGCCUGAUCCAGCGACGCCGCGUGAGUGAUGAAGGCCUUUGGGUCGUAAAGCUCUGUCAGCAGGGAAGAACGGCCGUGUGGUUAAUACCCAUGCGGAUUGACGGUACCUGCAGAGGAAGCACCGGCUAACUCCGUGCCAGCAGCCGCGGUAAUACGGAGGGUGCGAGCGUUAAUCGGAAUUACUGGGCGUAAAGGGCGCGUAGGCGGCUGAUCAAGUCAGGUGUGAAAGCCCACGGCUUAACCGUGUGAAGUGCAUCUGAAACUGGUCGGCUUGAGUAUCGGAGAGGAAAGUGGAAUUCCCGGUGUAGAGGUGAAAUUCGUAGAUAUCGGGAGGAAUACCGGUGGCGAAGGCGACUUUCUGGACGAAUACUGACGCUGAGGCGCGAAAGCGUGGGGAGCAAACAGGAUUAGAUACCCUGGUAGUCCACAGCUGUAAACGAUGUGCACUAGAUGUGGGGAAGUGUUGACCUUUCCUGUGUCGCAGCUAACGCAUUAAGUGCACCG
This 889-nucleotide ribosomal RNA is filed under the name uncultured bacterium. RNAcentral's name for it is "bacterial SSU rRNA". It matches the Rfam family "Bacterial small subunit ribosomal RNA", at positions 8 to 871 of the family's 1533-position model. The record is from RNAcentral.